AGUCUUAUAUUCAAUUAUGAUUUUUGAUUGCAAAUCUUAUGGUGCUUAAAUGCUAAGGCUU
RNAcentral lists this transfer RNA (61 nucleotides) under Nogodinidae sp. Its description in RNAcentral is "tRNA-Cys". The record is from RNAcentral. Lineage: Eukaryota; Metazoa; Arthropoda; Insecta; Hemiptera; Nogodinidae.